RNAcentral lists this transfer RNA (70 nucleotides) under Felis catus (domestic cat). It matches the Rfam family "tRNA", at positions 8 to 63 of the family's 71-position model. Rfam says of the family: Transfer RNA (tRNA) molecules are approximately 80 nucleotides in length. Their secondary structure includes four short double-helical elements and three loops (D, anti-codon, and T loops). RNAcentral also lists the same sequence under 1 other name. Lineage: Eukaryota; Metazoa; Chordata; Mammalia; Carnivora; Felidae. The record is from Rfam by way of RNAcentral.
UGGCUCAGUCGGUUGAGCAUCUGACUUCAGCUCAGGUCAUGAUCUCACGGUUUGUGGGUUCAAGCCCCGC